This is a non-coding RNA of Pantherophis guttatus, 371 nucleotides long. Lineage: Eukaryota; Metazoa; Chordata; Lepidosauria; Squamata; Colubridae. The record is from RefSeq and is a predicted model, not a curated record.
UCUCUCCUUGAUUAGGUUCCACCCAUUGCUUCUUGUCCUGCCUUCAGGUGCUUUGGAGAAUAGCACAAAAUGAGGACAAAGAAAGAGAUUCUGAACUGGACUGCAGAAGCCCAACUCCUAAGACCAAAUCAGUUGGAACAUUUGGAAUCUGGAGGUGGAGUGAAGUGAAUCUGGAGGUGGAAUGAAGUGCCCAAGAAGUCUACAGUGCCUGCAGAAAAUCACCUGCCAAAUGGAAUGUGCACUUCCUAAACACCUAACUAGCCAAUAAGUGUUGCUUUGCCUGAAACUAGAAAUCCUCUCUUGGCCAUUUAUGAAUAAAAAUAAGUGGUGUCCAUCUUUGCCAAUGGAAUCUGGAGCUUCACCUGCAAGUG